GACGAACGCUGGCGGCGUGCUUAACAUAUGCAAGUCGAACGGAAAGGCCCUGCUUUUGUGGGGUGCUCGAGUGGCGAACGGGUGAGUAACACGUGAGUAACCUGCCCUUGACUUUGGGAUAACUUCAGGAAACUGGGGCUAAUACCGGAUAGGAGCUCCUGCUGCAUGGUGGGGGUUGGAAAGUUUCGGCGGUUGGGGAUGGACUCGCGGCUUAUCAGCUUGUUGGUGGGGUAGUGGCUUACCAAGGCUUUGACGGGUAGCCGGCCUGAGAGGGUGACCGGCCACAUUGGGACUGAGAUACGGCCCAGACUCCUACGGGAGGCAGCAGUGGGGAAUAUUGCACAAUGGGCGGAAGCCUGAUGCAGCAACGCCGCGUGCGGGAUGACGGCCUUCGGGUUGUAAACCGCUAUCGCCUGUGACGAAGCGUGAGUGACGGUAAUGGGUAAAGAAGCACCGGCUAACUACGUG
Molecule: ribosomal RNA, 468 nt
Filed under: uncultured bacterium
Lineage: Bacteria
Description: partial 16S ribosomal RNA
Rfam family: Bacterial small subunit ribosomal RNA
Source: RNAcentral